AUUGAACGCUGGCGGCAUGCUUUACACAUGCAAGUCGAACGGCAGCGCGGGCUUCGGCCUGGCGGCGAGUGGCGAACGGGUGAGUAAUACAUCGGAACGUGCCCAGUAGAGGGGGAUAGCUCGGCGAAAGCCGGAUUAAUACCGCAUACGACCUGAUGGUGAAAGCGGGGGAUCUUCGGACCUCGCGGUAUUGGCGCGGCCGAUGGCAGAUUAGCUAGUUGGUGGGGUAAAGGCCUACCAAGGCGACGAUCUGUAGCUGGUCUGAGAGGACGACCAGCCACACUGGGACUGAGACACGGCCCAGACUCCUACGGGAGGCAGCAGUGGGGAAUUUUGGACAAUGGGCGAAAGCCUGAUCCAGCAAUGCCGCGUGUGUGAUGAAGGCCUUCGGGUUGUAAAGCACUUUUGGCGGGAACGAAAAGGACUGUGCCAAUACCACGGUUCGAUGACGGUACCCGCAGAAUAAGCACCGGCUAACUACGUG
Molecule: ribosomal RNA, 484 nt
Filed under: uncultured bacterium
Lineage: Bacteria
Description: partial 16S ribosomal RNA
Rfam family: Bacterial small subunit ribosomal RNA
Source: RNAcentral